This is a non-coding RNA of Potamilus streckersoni, 76 nucleotides long. The record is from the annotation of a GenBank genome assembly. Lineage: Eukaryota; Metazoa; Mollusca; Bivalvia; Unionida; Unionidae.
ACCUCUCCGGUGGCCUAGUGGUUAGAGCGAACGCCAUGAAUGCGAGAGGUUGCGGGUUCGAACCCCAUGCGAGUCA